RNAcentral lists this ribosomal RNA (501 nucleotides) under uncultured bacterium. RNAcentral describes it as "partial 16S ribosomal RNA". It matches the Rfam family "Bacterial small subunit ribosomal RNA", at positions 30 to 523 of the family's 1533-position model. The record is from RNAcentral.
AUUGAACGCUGGCGGCAGGCUUAACACAUGCAAGUCGAGCGGGGGAAGGUAGCUUGCUACCGGACCUAGCGGCGGACGGGUGAGUAAUGCUUAGGAAUCUGCCUAUUAGUGGGGGACGACAUCUCGAAAGGGAUGCUAAUACCGCAUACGUCCUACGGGAGAAAGCAGGGGAUCUUUGGACCUUGCGCUAAUAGAUGAGCCUAAGUCGGAUUAGCUAGUUGGUGGGGUAAAGGCCUACCAAGACGACGAUCUGGAGCGGGUCUGAGAGGAAGAUACGCCACACUGGGACUGAGACACGGCCCAGACUCCUACGGGAGGCAGCAGUGGGGAAUAUUGGACAAUGGGGGGAACCCUGAUCCAGCCAUGCCGCGUGUGUGAAGAAGGCCUUAUGGUUGUAAGGCACUUUAAGCGAGGAGGAGGCUACUUUAGUUAAUACCUACAGAUAGUGGACGUUACUCGCAGAAUAAGCACCGGCUAACUCUGUGCCAGCCGCCGCCGUAA